This is a long non-coding RNA of Oncorhynchus kisutch (coho salmon), 1636 nucleotides long. The record is from Ensembl. Lineage: Eukaryota; Metazoa; Chordata; Actinopteri; Salmoniformes; Salmonidae.
GUGAGGGAACUAACUAACUGUCUGUGUGCACGGUGAGGGAACUAACUAACUGUCUGUGUGCACGGGUGAGGGAACUAACUAACUGUCUGUGUCCAGAGGUGAGAGAACUAACUAACUGUCUGUGUGCACGGUGAGAGAACUAACUAACUGUCUGUGUGCCUGGUGAGAGAACUAACUAACUGUCUGUGUGCCUGGUGUCCAGAGGUGAGAGAACUAACUAACUGUCUGUGUGCACGGUGAGAGACUAACUAACUGUCUGUGUGCAGAGGUGAGGGAACUAACUAACUGUCUGUGUGCACGGUGAGGGAACUAACUAACUGUCUGUGUGCCUGGUGUACAGAGGUGAGAGAACUAACUAACUGUCUGUGUGCCUGGUGUACAGAGGUGAGAGAACUAACUAACUGUCUGUGUACAGAGGUGAGAGAACUAACUAACUGUCUGUGUACAGAGGUGAGAGAACUAACUAACUGUCUGUGUGCCUGGUGUACAGAGGUGAGAGAACUAACUAACUGUCUGUGUGCCUGGUGUACAGAGGUGAGGGAACUAACUAACUGUCUGUGUGCACGGGUGAGGAAAUAACUAACUGUCUGUGUGCACGGUGAGGGAACUAACUAACUGUCUGUGUGCACGGUGAGGGAACUAACUAACUGUCUGUGUGCACGGUGAGGAACUAACUAACUGUCUGUGUGCACGGUGAGGGAACUAACUAACUGUCUGUGUGCACGGUGAGAGAACUAACUAACUGUCUGUGUCCAGAGGUGAGACAACUAACUAACUGUCUGUGUACAGAGGUGAGAGAACUAACUAACUGUCUGUGUACAGAGGUGAGAGAACUAACUAACUUUCUGUGUACAGAGGUGAGAGAAACUAACUAACUGUCUGUGUGCACGGUGAGAGAACUAACUAACUGUCUGUGUGCACGGUGAGGGAACUAACUAACUGUCUGUGUCCAGAGGUGAGAGAACUAACUAACUGUCUGUGUGCACGGUGAGAGAACUAACUAACUGUCUGUGUGCCUGGUGAGAGAACUAACUAACUGUCUGUGUGCCUGUGUCAGAGGUGAGAGAAUAACUAACUGUCUGUGUGCACGGUGAGAGAACUAACUAACUGUCUGUGUGCAGAGGUGAGGGAACUAACUAACUGUCUGUGUGCACGGUGAGAGAACUAACUAACUGUCUGUGUGCCUGGUGAGAGAACUAACUAACUGUCUGUGUGCACGGUGAGAGAACUAACUAACUGUCUGUGUGCAGAGGUGAGGGAACUAACUAACUGUCUGUGUGCCUGGUGAGAGAACUAACUAACUGUCUGUGUGCCUGGUGAGAGAACUAACUAACUGUCUGUGUGCACGGUGAGAGAACUAACUAACUGUCUGUGUGCACGGUGAGGGAACUAACUAACUGUCUGUGUGCACGGUGAGGGAACUAACUAACUGUCUGUGUGCACGGUGAGAGAACUAACUAACUGUCUGUGUCCAGAGGGUGAGAGAACUAACUAACUUUCUGUGUACAGAGGUGAGAGAACUAACUAACUGUCUGUGUGCACGGUGAGAGAACUAACUAACUGUCUGUGUGCACGGUGAGGGAAAUAACUAACUGUCUGUGUGCACGGUGAGGGAACUAACUAACUGUCUGUGUGC